CAAUAGCGUAUAUUAACGUUGUUGCAGUUAAAAAGCUCGUAGUUGGAUUUCUGGAGGGAGCGUCGGCCCGUAUUUACGAGUGCGUGACGUCUCUGUCCAUCCUUGCGGGAAGGCACGGCAUUGAUUUGUUGUGUCGGAUCGCAUCAUUUACUGUGAAAAAAUUAGAGUGUUCAAAGCAGGCUUUCGCUUGAAUACAUUAGCAUGGAAUAAUAAGAUAGGACUUUGGCGCUAUUUUGUUGGUUGAGCCUAAAGUAAUGAUUAAUAGGGAUAGUUGGGGGCACCUGUAUUGCGUUGUCAGAGGUGAAAUUCUUGGAUUUACGCAAGACAAACAGCUGCGAAANCGNNNGCCAAGGAUGUUUUCAUNAA
Molecule: ribosomal RNA, 366 nt
Filed under: uncultured eukaryote
Lineage: Eukaryota
Description: partial 18S ribosomal RNA
Rfam family: Eukaryotic small subunit ribosomal RNA
Source: RNAcentral